UUGACCUCGAAUCAGGUAGGAAUACCCGCUGAACUUAAGCAUAUCAAUAAGCGGAGGAAAAGAAACCAACAGGGAUUGCCCCAGUAACGGCGAGUGAAGCGGCAACAGCUCAAAUUUGAAAUCUGGCUCUCGGGCCCGAGUUGUAAUUUGUAGAGGAUGCUUUUGGUGAGGUGCCUUCCGAGUUCCCUGGAACGGGACGCCAUAGAGGGUGAGAGCCCCGUCUGGUUGGACACCGAUCCUCUGUAAAGCUCCUUCGACGAGUCGAGUAGUUUGGGAAUGCUGCUCUAAAUGGGAGGUAUAUGUCUUCUAAAGCUAAUCC
Molecule: ribosomal RNA, 319 nt
Filed under: Fusarium sp. 14005
Lineage: Eukaryota; Fungi; Ascomycota; Sordariomycetes; Hypocreales; Nectriaceae
Description: eukaryotic LSU rRNA
Rfam family: Eukaryotic large subunit ribosomal RNA
Source: RNAcentral